This 432-nucleotide ribosomal RNA is filed under the name uncultured bacterium. RNAcentral's name for it is "partial 16S ribosomal RNA". It matches the Rfam family "Bacterial small subunit ribosomal RNA", at positions 29 to 506 of the family's 1533-position model. The record is from RNAcentral.
AACGAACGCUGGCGGCAUGCCUAACACAUGCAAGUCGAACGAGACCUUCGGGUCUAGUGGCGCACGGGUGCGUAACGCGUGGGAACCUGCCCUUAGGUUCGGAAUAACUCCCCGAAAGGGGUGCUAAUACCGGAUAAUGUCUUCGGACCAAAGAUUUAUCGCCUUUGGAUGGGCCCGCGUUGGAUUAGCUAGUUGGUAGGGUAAAAGCCUACCAAGGCGACGAUCCAUAGCUGGUCUGAGAGGAUGAUCAGCCACACUGGGACUGAGACACGGCCCAGACCCCUACGGGGGGCAGAAGGGGGGAAUAUUGGACAAGGGGCGAAAGCCUGACCCAGCAAUGCCGGGUGAGUGAUGAAGGCCUUGGGGUUGUAAAGCUCUUUUACCCGGGAGGAUAAUGACAGUACCGGGAGAAUAAGCCCCGGCUAACUCCGU